GAGCGACGCAGAAGACGGGUGAUUUCUGCAUUUCCAACUGAGCUGUCUUCCCUAAACUCAGCCUCCUGCCACCUGCCACAAGCUACCUACCAGAAGAGUUCACGAGAUGCCACGUGCUCCCACUCCAUGACAAGUGUGUGGAGGUUCUCCCUUCAUGAUGACUGCCACAGUGUGGCCUGGGCACCAGGAAACUGAAGGCAAGAGCUUGCGAUCCCUGCAACCUCAGUGGUGUGUGGCGGUAACCCUGCUCCCUCCUGUUUCACAUCCCAGCUGAAAACUUGGGAAAAUGAAAUCGCGCUCGGCCUGCCGUUGAUAGAGCACCUACUACAUGCCAUGGUCCGGUUAAGCACUUUAUGCGAUUGUUACUUCAUUUAAUCUACACAACAAUCCCGUGUGGACUCGAUUAACCUUACAGGGGAAGAGAAGGAGGCUGGGAAUAU
Molecule: long non-coding RNA, 440 nt
Filed under: Homo sapiens (human)
Lineage: Eukaryota; Metazoa; Chordata; Mammalia; Primates; Hominidae
Description: HSALNT0361669
Source: RNAcentral